AGUGUUUCACCGAUGGGUCACUGAUGAGUCAGUUUGACUCACAUCUCUCCUCCGUCAAUGAGCUUGAUGAGCGCAUGAAAUGGAACCAUGAGAAAAACACUGCAAGAGAAGGCUUCUGAAAAGAAAUGAAAAGAGGGAGGAGGAGGAGAAGAAGAAGAACUCGGACUAAAUUACCUCCUCUGUGGAUGUGGCUGUUCUUCUGUUCAUGCUUUGCUUCAUUCUGCAGCAACCUUUCUUCUUGUAGCUGAAGCUUCAAAUUGGCGCUGCUGGCAGAUUUGAUGAAAACAUUCUCCACAACUUUUCCAGCACCAAACUCCAGACAAACACAUUCGACUGGAGAGAAUGAUAAGGUCUGGGGAGUUGCAGCCCCAGUGAGCUGGAGGAACAUAACUCAGAAGGUCAUACAGUACGGAGGCCCCGGCAAAUCCCUGUGGUCUGUUAAUCAACAUGGAAGAUAAACAGAAGAUGCCCAGGGAAGGUAAUGCAUCAUGCAUGAAGGUCUCUCCGACCACAGUUUGCAACAGUGCAGAUGUUUGAAGGCGGGA
This is a long non-coding RNA of Platichthys flesus (European flounder), 545 nucleotides long. RefSeq lists it as uncharacterized. The transcript has 4 exons. NCBI's taxonomy places the organism in Eukaryota, Metazoa, Chordata, Actinopteri, Pleuronectiformes, Pleuronectidae. The record is from RefSeq and is a predicted model, not a curated record.